This 174-nucleotide non-coding RNA is filed under the name Wolbachia pipientis. Its description in RNAcentral is "WsnRNA46". It matches the Rfam family "Wolbachia sRNA 46". Lineage: Bacteria; Pseudomonadati; Pseudomonadota; Alphaproteobacteria; Rickettsiales; Anaplasmataceae. The record is from RNAcentral. RNAcentral also lists the same sequence under 1 other name.
GCGGUAUGACGUAGGACUGCUGUCAUCCCAGUGCUUGACACUGGGAUCCAGUUGAGCUAUUUCAACAAAAAUACUGCAUUUGAGAUGAACGUUCCAGACUUAUUUAUAAAUAUAACAAUUAAAGUCUGGAUUCCAGCGUCAAGCACUGGAAUAAUAUCGUUUACUAUGUCUAUA